Molecule: ribosomal RNA, 467 nt
Filed under: uncultured bacterium
Lineage: Bacteria
Description: partial 16S ribosomal RNA
Rfam family: Bacterial small subunit ribosomal RNA
Source: RNAcentral
GAUGAACGCUGACCGAAUGCUUAACACAUGCAAGUCAACUUGAAUUUGGGUUUUUAACUUAGGUUUGGGUGGCGGACGGGUGAGUAACGCGUAAAGAACUUGCCUCACAGCUAGGGACAACAUUUGGAAACGAAUGCUAAUACCUAAUAUUAUGAUAAUAGGGCAUCCUAUAAUUAUGAAAGCUAUAAGCGCUGUGAGAGAGCUUUGCGUCCCAUUAGCUAGUUGGAGAGGUAACGGCUCACCAAGGCGAUGAUGGGUAGCCGGCCUAAGAGGGUGAUCGGCCACAAGGGGACUGAGACACGGCCCUUACUCCUACGGGAGGCAGCAGUGGGGAAUAUUGGACAAUGGACCGAGAGUCUGAUCCAGCAAUUCUGUGUGCACGAUGAAGUUUUUCGGAAUGUAAAGUGCUUUCAGUUGGGAAGAAACAAAUGACGGUACCAACAGAAGAAGUGACGGCUAAAUACGUG